RNAcentral lists this ribosomal RNA (448 nucleotides) under uncultured bacterium. RNAcentral describes it as "SSU rRNA". It matches the Rfam family "Bacterial small subunit ribosomal RNA", at positions 26 to 518 of the family's 1533-position model. The record is from RNAcentral.
AGAGCGAACGCUGGCGGCAGGCUUAACACAUGCAAGUCGAGCGGGCGUAGCAAUACGUCAGCGGCAGACGGGUGAGUAACGCGUGGGAACAUACCUUUUGGUUCGGAACAACACAGGGAAACUUGUGCUAAUACCGGAUAAGCCCUUACGGGGAAAGAUUUAUCGCCGAAAGAUUGGCCCGCGUCUGAUUAGCUAGUUGGUGAGGUAACGGCUCACCAAGGCGACGAUCAGUAGCUGGUCUGAGAGGAUGAUCAGCCACAUUGGGACUGAGACACGGCCCAAACUCCUACGGGAGGCAGCAGUGGGGAAUAUUGGACAAUGGGCGCAAGCCUGAUCCAGCCAUGCCGCGUGAGUGAUGAAGGCCCUAGGGUUGUAAAGCUCUUUUGUGCGGGAAGAUAAUGGCGGUACCGCAAGAAUAAGCCCCGGCUAACUUCGCGCCAGCAGCCGC